RNAcentral lists this ribosomal RNA (490 nucleotides) under uncultured bacterium. Its description in RNAcentral is "partial 16S ribosomal RNA". It matches the Rfam family "Bacterial small subunit ribosomal RNA", at positions 29 to 507 of the family's 1533-position model. The record is from RNAcentral.
AGUGAACGCUGGCGGUAGGCCUAACACAUGCAAGUCGAACGGCAGCACAGGAGAGCUUGCUCUCUGGGUGGCGAGUGGCGGACGGGUGAGGAAUACAUCGGAAUCUGCCCAGUCGUGGGGGAUAACGUAGGGAAACUUACGCUAAUACCGCAUACGACCUUCGGGUGAAAGAGGGGGAUCGCAAGACCUCUCGCGAUUGGAUGAGCCGAUGUCGGAUUAGCUAGUUGGCGGGGUAAUGGCCCACCAAGGCGACGAUCCGUAGCUGGUCUGAGAGGAUGAUCAGCCACACUGGAACUGAGACACGGUCCAGACUCCUACGGGAGGCAGCAGUGGGGAAUAUUGGACAAUGGGCGCAAGCCUGAUCCAGCCAUACCGCGUGGGUGAAGAAGGCCUUCGGGUUGUAAAGCCCUUUUGUUGGGAAAGAAAUCUUUAAGGCUAAUACCCUGGGAGGAUGACGGUACCCAAAGAAUAAGCACCGGCUAACUUCGUG